RNAcentral lists this ribosomal RNA (463 nucleotides) under uncultured bacterium. RNAcentral's name for it is "bacterial SSU rRNA". It matches the Rfam family "Bacterial small subunit ribosomal RNA", at positions 921 to 1374 of the family's 1533-position model. The record is from RNAcentral.
CGGCCGCGUCGACCGCACAAGCGUGGAGCGAUGUGGUUAAUUCGAAGCAACGCGAAGAACCUUACCAGGUCUUGACAUCCCGAUGCUAUUCUAGAGAUAGAAAGUUACUUCGGUACAUCGGUGACAGGUCGGUGCAUGGUUGUCGUCAGCUCGUGUCGUGAGAUGUUGGGUUAAGUCCCGCAACGAGCGCAACCCCUAUUGUUAGUUGCCAUCAUUCAGUUGGGCACUCUAGCGAGACUGCCGGUAAUAAACCGGAGGAAGGUGGGGAUGACGUCAAGUCAGCAUGCCCCUUACGUCCUGGGCUACACACGUACUACAAUGGUAGGGACAGAGGGCAGCCAACCCGCGAGGGCGAGCUAAUCCCGUAAACCCUGCCUCAGUUCAGAUUGCAGGCUGCAACUCGCCUGCAUGAAGGCGGAAUCGCUAGUAAUCGCAGGUCAGCAUACUGCGGUGAAUCCGUUCC